This 301-nucleotide ribosomal RNA is filed under the name uncultured bacterium. RNAcentral's name for it is "partial 16S ribosomal RNA". It matches the Rfam family "Bacterial small subunit ribosomal RNA", at positions 509 to 807 of the family's 1533-position model. The record is from RNAcentral.
CAGCCGCCGCGGGAAUACGAAGGGUGCAAGCGUUAAUCGGAAUUACUGGGCGUAAAGCGCGCGUAGGUGGUUCAUUAAGUUGGAUGUGAAAGCCCUGGGCUCAACCUGGGAACUGCAUCCAAAACUGGUGAGCUAGAGUACGGUAGAGGGUAGUGGAAUUUCCUGUGUAGCGGUGAAAUGCGUAGAUAUAGGAAGGAACACCAGUGGCGAAGGCGACUACCUGGACUGAUACUGACACUGAGGUGCGAAAGCGUGGGGAGCAAACGGGAUUAGAGACCCCUGUAGUCCCUGUCUCUUAUAC